GCCGUGGUGACCGAGUGGUUAUGGCGUUGGACUCAUAAUCCAAUGGAUUAUACCCGCACAGGUACAAAUCUUGUCCACAGCG
Molecule: transfer RNA, 82 nt
Filed under: Trichuris muris
Lineage: Eukaryota; Metazoa; Nematoda; Enoplea; Trichinellida; Trichuridae
Description: snRNA TMUE_0100000081
Rfam family: tRNA
About the family: Transfer RNA (tRNA) molecules are approximately 80 nucleotides in length. Their secondary structure includes four short double-helical elements and three loops (D, anti-codon, and T loops). Further hydrogen bonds mediate the characteristic L-shaped molecular structure. tRNAs have two regions of fundamental functional importance: the anti-codon, which is responsible for specific mRNA codon recognition, and the 3' end, to which the tRNAs corresponding amino acid is attached (by aminoacyl-tRNA synthetases). tRNAs cope with the degeneracy of the genetic code in two manners: having more than one tRNA (with a specific anti-codon) for a particular amino acid; and 'wobble' base-pairing, i.e. permitting non-standard base-pairing at the 3rd anti-codon position.
Source: RNAcentral